This 462-nucleotide ribosomal RNA is filed under the name uncultured bacterium. Its description in RNAcentral is "partial 16S ribosomal RNA". It matches the Rfam family "Bacterial small subunit ribosomal RNA", at positions 28 to 507 of the family's 1533-position model. The record is from RNAcentral.
GAUAAACGCUGGCGGCGUGCUUAACACAUGCAAGUCGAACGAAGUUUUUCCUUCGGGAGAAACUUAGUGGCGGACGGGUGAGUAACGCGUGGGUAACCUGCCCUGUACAGGGGGACAACAGCUGGAAACGGCUGCUAAUACCGCAUAAGCCCUUAGCACUGCAUGGUGCAUAGGGAAAAGGAGCAAUCCGGUACAGGAUGGACCCGCGUCUGAUUAGCCAGUUGGCAGGGUAACGGCCUACCAAAGCGACGAUCAGUAGCCGAUCUGAGAGGAUGUACGGCCACAUUGGGACUGAGACACGGCCCAGACUCCUACGGGAGGCAGCAGUGGGGAAUAUUGCACAAUGGAGGAAACUCUGAUGCAGCGACGCCGCGUGAGUGAAGAAGUAUUUCGGGAUGUAAAGCUCUAUCAGCAGGGAAGAAAAUGACGGUACCUGACUAAGAAGCACCGGCUAAAUACGUG